RNAcentral lists this ribosomal RNA (468 nucleotides) under uncultured bacterium. Its description in RNAcentral is "partial 16S ribosomal RNA". It matches the Rfam family "Bacterial small subunit ribosomal RNA", at positions 28 to 507 of the family's 1533-position model. The record is from RNAcentral.
GACGAACGCUGGCGGCGUGCUUAACACAUGCAAGUCGAACGGCAACGCACUGAUUUUGUGGUGUGCCCGAGUGCCGAACGGGUGCGUAACACGUGAGUAACCUGCUCUACACUUUGGGAUAACUUCAGGAAACUGGGGUUACUCCCGGAUAGGAUCUCCUCCUGCAUGGUGGGGGUUGGAACGUUUCGGCCGUUGGGGAUGGACUCGCGGCUUAUCAGCUAGUUGGUGGGGUAGUGGCUUACCCAGGCUUUGACGGGUAGCCGGCCUGUGAGGGUGACCGGCCACAUUGGGACUGAGGGACGGCCCAGAGGCCUACGGGAGACAGCAGUGGGGAAUAUUGCACAAUGGGCGGAAGCCGGAUGCAGCAACGCCGCGUUCGGGAUGACGUCCUGCGGGUAGUAAACCGCUUUCGCCUAUGACGAAGCGGGAGUGACGGUAAUGAGUAAAGAAGCACCGGCUAACUACGUG